UGCAGUCGAGCGGAACGAGUUAUCUGAACCUUCGGGGAACGAUAACGGCGUCGAGCGGCGGACGGGUGAGUAAUGCCUAGGAAAUUGCCCUGAUGUGGGGGAUAACCAUUGGAAACGAUGGCUAAUACCGCAUGAUGCCUACGGGCCAAAGAGGGGGACCUUCGGGCCUCUCGCGUCAGGAUAUGCCUAGGUGGGAUUAGCUAGUUGGUGAGGUAAGGGCUCACCAAGGCGACGAUCCCUAGCUGGUCUGAGAGGAUGAUCAGCCACACUGGAACUGAGACACGGUCCAGACUCCUACGGGAGGCAGCAGUGGGGAAUAUUGCACAAUGGGCGCAAGCCUGAUGCAGCCAUGCCGCGUGUGUGAAAAGGCCUUCGGGUUGUAAAGCACUUUCAGUCGUGAG
RNAcentral lists this ribosomal RNA (401 nucleotides) under Vibrio alginolyticus. RNAcentral describes it as "bacterial SSU rRNA". It matches the Rfam family "Bacterial small subunit ribosomal RNA", at positions 56 to 446 of the family's 1533-position model. Lineage: Bacteria; Pseudomonadati; Pseudomonadota; Gammaproteobacteria; Vibrionales; Vibrionaceae. The record is from RNAcentral.